Long non-coding RNA from Mauremys mutica (yellowpond turtle), 544 nucleotides. RefSeq lists it as uncharacterized. The transcript is spliced from 3 exons. The record is from RefSeq and is a predicted model, not a curated record. NCBI's taxonomy places the organism in Eukaryota, Metazoa, Chordata, Testudines, Geoemydidae.
CUCCAACAGAGAAGCGACCAAUCGUGGUGAGACAAGGAAGUCCUGCUGAGGUGAUCCGCCAAGACGUUCCUGGUUCCAGGCAGGCCCAGUUUGCGCCAGGUGGAAUGUUCCAGAUCAAAGCUCCUCUGUGCUUGCUCCUGAAACCUGCCCUAGAUGAGCCAGUCGUCGAGAUACAGGAAGACCUGAACCCCUCAACAUCUCAGGUCCCUGACUAGGCUGCCAAGGCCUUGGUGGCAGGGGCAGCCAGAACUGCUUCCGUGGAGACUGUGCCAUUUGCAUGCCCAGGGGGCAAAGGGUGGCCCGAAUGUCCUUUUACCCAUGCAGCCUCGCAUCUCUCUGUUCUGAAAAGAGACCAUUCCCAUUGAAUGGGAGGUCCUGGAUAGAGGUCUGCAUCUUGUGGGACAGGCCAGCGAUCUGAAGCCAGGAGCUGCGCCUCAUGACUACUGCUGACGUGACCACCCUAGCCUCCAAGUCUGCUGCGUCCCAUUCCAUCUGCAGACAACACCCAGCCGCCACGGUGCCUUCCUCCACCAGGGUGCUGAAU